ACACAAGAUUGGUAAUUUUUUGUAUUUUUUUCAUCGCAACCUGUCAAAAUUUCGUAGUUUAGAAAUUCAAUAUUUCGAAUUUGAAUGCACACCCGAACAAAGCAAAUCAGCUCAACUAAUCUUGUCUCAACAUCCUGGAUCUGGCAAUCAGCCAACCAACAUUAAAUCGAUACAACCGCAGCAGUACCAACUGUACUCUAAAUCCAGCAACAGCCCACAACUCCUCAAAAAGGACCACAUAGCAAUUACUGCUCAAACGAACAACAGGAGUUUACGAAUGAUGGACACAUCGGAAAACAUUUCAUCGGCACAUUCUGCCUUAAAACUUGUCUGCCACUAUUUUUACCAGCGGUUGCCUUCCUGAUUUAGAGAAAUCGGAUUCAAGCACAAACGUCAUAUUCCAGCCUUGGUUCCUACCAGUUCCUUGCAUGAAAAUAUCACUGCCUCCACAGUGCUCGUGAUUCCAUUCCAGCAGCAGUAAGCAAUCAAUAUUCGAGUGCUUAUCGCCAACAUUUCACAGCAAGCUCAGCAGCAGAACCACCUUCAACCACAUCAGAAAAUUAAGAUUUCUUCCAGACCACGACCAUCAUCCUAAAGGUCGGUAGCAAUAACGUUCAACCGCCGGUACAACCUGGUCAGCAACCGCAAUUAGUACAAUAGAUCCAAGCCAAAUGUAGAAGACCAUUGACUAACUGCAAAAAAGAUAGCAACAGCAUAUUCAAACACAGUAGCAGCAGCAUACUAUACCGUACCAUGCGGUGUGCAGGAGGACUUUUUUAUUCAGUUGGUGCGGCAAGAUCGAACACCAACAACAUAAUAUGGUAAUCACCCAGCAAGAGAACGCAGUGAUAAUGGGCCAACAGAAAACACAACAUCAAGAUGCUUGGAAAGGACUUUCUCUUUCGAACAAACAUAAUGGCACGUCAUGUUCGAUCGGCUAACCGUUUGGAAUAAGCGCUCAUCAUCGGUUUCAUGGCAGGGAAGUGAGCAGGCAAAAGAAGGCAUCGUUUUUUUCCGCAAGGUCGCUCUGGUCAAAAUUUCAGCGAAUUGCAAGGAAUAAACAACCCGAGGGACAGUACCCGUGCUGAUUCAGUACGAUUUCUCAUACUUUGUACCUUGCUAUUGAAUUUUAAUACCCGAUCGAAACGAUGGCAAGCGCUGCCGUUAACUGGGUCAAAAAGACGACGGAUCAAGAAAUUUCUG
Molecule: long non-coding RNA, 1203 nt
Organism: Topomyia yanbarensis
Lineage: Eukaryota; Metazoa; Arthropoda; Insecta; Diptera; Culicidae
Exons: 4
Source: RefSeq, a predicted model, not a curated record